UAUUUCAGAUUCUAAUGUAUUAAUUGUUAUUUAUUUUUAAAUUAUGAUCAUUUAGUGAUAGUCUUCAUUUUUAUCCUUUCGAUACUAAUUUUGGUGGGCAACCAUGAAUUCAAAUGUUCAUUUUAAAGUACAAAUUUUCUAGAGGCUUGUGUUCAGAAUUUGACAAAACUGCAAAAUCAAAUAUCCUCUAGAUUACAAUUCUGUUUUGAAUGCAUAGUAUUUUAUAAUCUGGCCCUCAUUGUUUCCCAAAAUGACUACAAGCUUGAUAAUAUUAUGUACAAACAAAA
Molecule: long non-coding RNA, 287 nt
Filed under: Mytilus galloprovincialis (Mediterranean mussel)
Lineage: Eukaryota; Metazoa; Mollusca; Bivalvia; Mytilida; Mytilidae
Source: RNAcentral